GAGAGAUACUCAGAGUUUGAUCCUGGCUCAGGAUGAACGCUGGCUGUGUGCCUAAUACAUGCAUGUCGAGCGAAGUACUUGUACUUAGCGGCGAAUGGGUGAGUAACACGUACUCAACGUACCCUUCAGAUUGGCAUAGCGGUUGGAAACAACCGAUAAUUUCAAAUACUCGUUUUUAUCGCAUGAUAAUUACGUAAAAGACGCCUUUAAAGCGUCGCUGGAGGAGCGGGGUGCGCAACAUUAGCUAGUUGGUGAGGUAACGGCCCACCAAGGCAAUGAUGUUUAGCGGGGUUGAGAGACUGAACCGCCACACUGGGACUGAGAUACGGCCCAG
RNAcentral lists this ribosomal RNA (334 nucleotides) under uncultured bacterium. RNAcentral's name for it is "bacterial SSU rRNA". It matches the Rfam family "Bacterial small subunit ribosomal RNA", at positions 1 to 334 of the family's 1533-position model. The record is from RNAcentral.